AAUUAGCUAUAUUAAGUAAAUGUUUUGAAAGCAUUUGAAAAGAAUAAUCUUAUUU
This 55-nucleotide transfer RNA is filed under the name Limnoria quadripunctata. RNAcentral's name for it is "tRNA-Ser". The record is from RNAcentral. Lineage: Eukaryota; Metazoa; Arthropoda; Malacostraca; Isopoda; Limnoriidae.